CACAAGCGGUGGAGCAUGUGGUUUAAUCGAAGCAACGCGCAGAACCUUACCAACCCUUGACAUCGAGAUCGCGGUUUCCAGAGAUGGAUUCCUUCAGUUCGGCUGGAUCUUAGACAGGUGUUGCAUGGCUGUCGUCAGCUCGUGUCGUGAGAUGUUGGGUUAAGUCCCGCAACGAGCGCAACCCUCGCCUUUAGUUGCCAUCAUUAAGUUGGGCACUCUAGAGGGACUGCCGGUGAUAAGCCGGAGGAAGGUGGGGAUGACGUCAAGUCCUCAUGGCCCUUAUGGGUUGGGCUACACACGUGCUACAAUGGCGGCGACAAUGGGCAGCGAAGGGGCGACCCGGUGCAAAUCCCAAAAAGCCGUCUCAGUUCGGAUUGGAGUCUGAAACCCGACUCCAUGAAGGUGGAAUCGCUAGUAAUCGCGCAUCAGCAUGGCGCGGUGAAUACGUUCCCGGGCCUU
Molecule: ribosomal RNA, 459 nt
Filed under: uncultured Parvibaculum sp.
Lineage: Bacteria; Pseudomonadati; Pseudomonadota; Alphaproteobacteria; Hyphomicrobiales; Parvibaculaceae
Description: bacterial SSU rRNA
Rfam family: Bacterial small subunit ribosomal RNA
Source: RNAcentral